GUGGGCAAGUUCUGGUGUCAGCCGCCGCGGUAAAACCAGCACCUCAAGUGGUCAGGAUGAUUAUUGGGCCUAAAGCAUCCGUAGCCGGCGCUAUAAGUUUUCGGUUAAAUCUGUAUGCUCAACAUACAGGCUGCCGGGAAUACUGCAGCGCUAGGGAGUGGGAGAGGUAGACGGUACUCGGUAGGAAGGGGUAAAAUCCUUUGAUCUAUUGAUGACCACCUGUGGCGAAGGCGGUCUACCAGAACACGUCCGACGGUGAGGGAUGAAAGCUGGGGGAGCAAACCGGAUUAGAUACCCGGGUAGUCCCAGCUGUAAACCAUGCAAACUCAGUGAUGCAUUGGCUUGUGGCCAAUGCAGUGCUGCAGGGAAGCCGUUAAGUUUGCCGCCUGGGAAGUACGUACGCAAGUAUGAAACUUAAAGGAAUUGGCGGGGGAGCACCACAAGGGGUGAAGCCUGCGGUUCAAUUGGAGUCAACGCCAGAAA
This 483-nucleotide ribosomal RNA is filed under the name uncultured archaeon. RNAcentral describes it as "bacterial SSU rRNA". It matches the Rfam family "Archaeal small subunit ribosomal RNA", at positions 442 to 924 of the family's 1478-position model. The record is from RNAcentral.